RNAcentral lists this ribosomal RNA (253 nucleotides) under uncultured bacterium. RNAcentral describes it as "partial 16S ribosomal RNA". It matches the Rfam family "Bacterial small subunit ribosomal RNA", at positions 524 to 776 of the family's 1533-position model. The record is from RNAcentral.
UACGUAGGGGGCAAGCGUUGUCCGGAUUUAUUGGGCGUAAAGAGCGUGUAGGCGGCCAGAUAGGUCCGUUGUGAAAACUGGAGGCUUAACCUCCAGACGUCGACGGAAACCGCGCGGCUAGAGUCCGGAAGAGGAGAGUGGAAUUCCUGGUGUAGCGGUGAAAUGCGCAGAUAUCAGGAAGAACACCAAUGGCGAAGGCAGCUCUCUGGGACGGUACUGACGCUGAGACGCGAAAGCGUGGGGAGCGAACAGG